GAUGAAGAACGUAGCGAAAUGCGAUAAGUAAUGUGAAUUGCAGAAUUCAGUGAAUCAUCGAAUCUUUGAACGCACAUUGCGCCCCCUGGUAUUCCGGGGGGCAUGCCUGUUCGAGCGUCAUUUCACCACUCAAGCCUCGCUUGGUAUUGGGCAACGCGGUCCGCCGCGUGCCUCAAAUCGACCGGCUGGGUCUUCUGUCCCCUAAGCGUUGUGGAAACUAUUCGCUAAAGGGUGUUCGGGAGGCUACGCCGUAAAACAACCCCAUUUCUAAGGUUGACCUCGGAUCAGGUGGGAAUACCCGCUGAACUUAAGCAUAUCAAUAAGCGGAGGA
This 331-nucleotide unclassified non-coding RNA is filed under the name soil metagenome. Its description in RNAcentral is "partial contains 5.8S ribosomal RNA, internal transcribed spacer 2, and large subunit ribosomal RNA". The stretch from base 1 to 120 matches the Rfam family "5.8S ribosomal RNA", at positions 35 to 154 of the family's 154-position model. The record is from RNAcentral.